GCGAGCGAACGGGGAGCAGCCCAGAGCCUGAAUCAGUGUGUGUGUUAGUGGAAGCGUCUGGAAAGGCGCGCGAUACAGGGUGACAGCCCCGUACACAAAAAUGCACAUGCUGUGAGCUCGAUGAGUAGGGCGGGACACGUGGUAUCCUGUCUGAAUAUGGGGGGACCAUCCUCCAAGGCUAAAUACUCCUGACUGACCGAUAGUGAACCAGUACCGUGAGGGAAAGGCGAAAAGAACCCCGGCGAGGGGAGUGAAAAAGAACCUGAAACCGUGUACGUACAAGCAGUGGGAGCACGCUUAGGCGUGUGACUGCGUACCUUUUGUAUAAUGGGUCAGCGACUUAUAUUCUGUAGCAAGGUUAACCGAAUAGGGGAGCCGAAGGGAAACCGAGUCUUAACUGGGCGUUAAGUUGCAGGGUAUAGACCCGAAACCCGGUGAUCUAGCCAUGG
Molecule: ribosomal RNA, 449 nt
Filed under: Escherichia coli
Lineage: Bacteria; Pseudomonadati; Pseudomonadota; Gammaproteobacteria; Enterobacterales; Enterobacteriaceae
Description: partial 23S ribosomal RNA
Rfam family: Bacterial large subunit ribosomal RNA
Source: RNAcentral